ACUCAAAUGAAUAGACGGGGACUUGCACAAGUAGUGGAUUAUGCGGUUUAAUUCGAUGACAAACGAAAAACCUUACCAAGGUUAGAAAUCUACGUGAAGACGAGCAGAAACGUUCGUCGUCCGCAAGGACUCGUGGACAGGUGAUGCAUGGCCGUCGUCAGUUCGUGAUUUGAAUUGUUCCCUUAAGUGGGGUAACGAACGCAACCCUCGUUGCCAGUUAUAAGUGUCUGGCGAGACUGCCCCCGUUUGUGCGCAUGAAUUGAAAGAUUCGUGAAUGCAAACGGGGGAGGAAGGCGAGGAUGACGCCAGGUCAGCAUGUCCCUCUGAUACCUUGGGCCACACGCAUAAUACAAUCGCCGCUACAACGGGUCGCGACGGGGUAACCCUGAGCCAAUCCUUAGAAAAGCGGCGCCAGUUCGGAUUGAGGGCUGAAACUCGACCUCAUGAAGCCGGAAUUACUAGUAAUCGCGGGUCAGCUAUACCGCGGUGAAUACGUUCUCAAGUCUUGUACACACCGCCCGU
This 522-nucleotide ribosomal RNA is filed under the name uncultured bacterium. Its description in RNAcentral is "partial 16S ribosomal RNA". It matches the Rfam family "Bacterial small subunit ribosomal RNA", at positions 899 to 1397 of the family's 1533-position model. The record is from RNAcentral.